GAGGGUAUAGCUCAGUGGCAGAGUGCAUGCCUAGCAUGCAUAAGAUCCUGGGUUCAAUACCCAGUAUCUUCA
Molecule: transfer RNA, 72 nt
Filed under: Camelus bactrianus (Bactrian camel)
Lineage: Eukaryota; Metazoa; Chordata; Mammalia; Artiodactyla; Camelidae
Also listed under: 3 other names
Rfam family: tRNA
About the family: Transfer RNA (tRNA) molecules are approximately 80 nucleotides in length.
Source: Rfam by way of RNAcentral